UGGGGAAUUUUGCACAAUGGGGGAAACCCUGAUGCAGCGACGCCGCGUGAUUUAGAAGGCCUUCGGGUUGUAAAAAUCUUUUCUAUGGGAAGAAAAUGACAGUACCAUAGGAAUAAGGACCGGCUAAUUACGUGCCAGCAGCCGCGGUAAUACGUAAGGUCCGAGCGUUGUCCGGAAUCAUUGGGCGUAAAGGGUACGUAGGCGGGUAAGCAAGUUAGAAGUGAAAUCCUAUAGCUCAACUAUAGUAAGCUUUUAAAACUGCUCAUCUUGAGAUAUGGAAGGGAAAGUGGAAUUCCUAGUGUAGCGGUGAAAUGCGCAGAUAUUAGGAGGAAUACCGGUGGCGAAGGCGACUUUCUGGCCAUAAUCUGACGCUGAGGUACGAAAGCGUGGGUAGCAAACAGG
This 402-nucleotide ribosomal RNA is filed under the name Bacteroidota bacterium. RNAcentral describes it as "Bacteroidetes bacterium partial 16S ribosomal RNA". It matches the Rfam family "Bacterial small subunit ribosomal RNA", at positions 355 to 776 of the family's 1533-position model. Lineage: Bacteria; Pseudomonadati; Bacteroidota. The record is from RNAcentral. RNAcentral also lists the same sequence under 1 other name.